UACAGGGGGUGCAAACGUUGCUCGGAAUUAUUGGGCGUAAAGCGCACGUAGGCGGUUCGUUAUGUCAGAUGUGAAAGUCCUUGGCUCAACUGAGGAAGUGCAUCUGAAACUGGCGAGCUAGAGUAUGUAAGAGGGUCGCGGAAUUCCCGGUGUAGAGGUGAAAUUCGUAGAUAUCGGGAGGAACACCGGUGGCGAAGGCGGCGACCUGGGACAAUACUGACGCUGAGGUGCGAAAGCGUGGGGAGCAAACAGG
This 253-nucleotide ribosomal RNA is filed under the name uncultured bacterium. Its description in RNAcentral is "partial 16S ribosomal RNA". It matches the Rfam family "Bacterial small subunit ribosomal RNA", at positions 524 to 776 of the family's 1533-position model. The record is from RNAcentral.